Long non-coding RNA from Wyeomyia smithii (pitcher-plant mosquito), 1489 nucleotides. RefSeq lists it as uncharacterized. The record is from RefSeq and is a predicted model, not a curated record. The transcript is spliced from 3 exons. Lineage: Eukaryota; Metazoa; Arthropoda; Insecta; Diptera; Culicidae.
UUGUUUUGUUUUGAUAUUCAACCUAAUUUUCAACUAAAGCUGCCCAAAAAUAUAUACUUAAUGUUGCAAAUGAAAAACAAAACAAACAAUGAACCCAAAAAAAGUGCCACUGCGCUACUGGAGUUUCAAUUUGAUAGAGCGAAAUAAGAAAUUGGGCAAUGAAUGAUUAUCACAGAAGUCCAAAUAGUCAUGCAAGGGGCAAUAUGGAUCUUCUGAAAAUUGCGCAAAAACUUGUUGCUGCUCUUCAUUUCAAAUCUUCUAGCAUCCCUGAUCAUUGUUAUGUCGCUGUCAUGUCAGCAUCCAUCAUUCAGUCUUCAGUUUUUUUAAUUUAUUCCGCGGCUUUAGUCUCCAGAGUUAUUGUGUUGCUUGUCUCUGUUUAUCGGUUUUGAUCGUUUUGAUUGAGUGUUCACGAGUGAGGGAAUUACUUCUGCGUGGUACAAACCGUCGAAGCUAGCGGUCACUGUGGUUCCGUAGAAUUCAGGAAAGGCAGCUACCUCAAUUUAAGAAUUUGGCUUUUAUCAUUUGCUAGAACAUAACGGAACUUCAAUGAAAUUUACACCAAAGGAAGAUGGUGCAUUUGACCGCGAUGAGUAAGUGAGAAACUAUAAUGUUGCGUUGUAUAAACAGGGAUACCAUCUGGCCGGAGGUGUGAAUCAGGACCUUUCAUAGUUUCAAAACCCACCCUGGUAGAGGCAGUUAUAAUAAAACCGGAGCGCUAGCCCCGCAAUUACUUUGUAUGCUAAUAGCUGUCCGCGAAGUCUGUGCUUAAUAAAUAUUAGGGUCAAGUUUGUACAGCGUAAUGUUCGUACCAAUACUUUGCCUUUUAUUUGAUUUACGCUUUUUUGAUUUAACUGUUAUAGAUAUGAAGAGGCAGAUAAAUGAGUAGAAUGCUUGUCUGAGAGGCACACUGUCGCAGUGAAAAAAUAUGACAUCGAGGGGUUCAAUUCUGUUAAAACCGAGGGGCAUUUCAAAGGCGUGCGACACGCCUCGCGGGACAAAUUUCUGAGCGGGACAUGUUGUUGAAAUGAGGGACCGUAUAGUCACUUCAUAAUUAGAUGUUUAACGAUUUCAACACCUAGAAGAUUCCUCUCGUCACUUCGCUGAGAUUCAACAGAAGAAAAAAUUCGUUUGCGUUGUGUCUCGGAAUGGUUCACUUUGAAAACCAGGACAAAUGCCAGAAUAUAAAAAAUAAAUCAGUACGCUCAAAUAGGAUCUCAGAAUUAGGACAUGCCCUGCUAAAUCAGGACGGAUGGUAUCCCUAUGUAUAAAUGUACAUAUAUUAUUGUUUUGAACGCUUCGUAUCGUAUUAGUAUUAGUUCGUAAAAGGGAUACUUGGUCAGCAAUAAUAAAAGUGUUAAAAAUAUUUUUUUUAACACUUUUACUAUUGCUUACGAAGGUUCAUUUGUAACUCAAGUGUUUUAUAGUAAAUUAUCAAUUGUUCAUUUUGUGUGGCUAAUCAAUCAACACUAUUUUAAUGUGAAAUUAUAAU